This 467-nucleotide ribosomal RNA is filed under the name uncultured bacterium. RNAcentral describes it as "partial 16S ribosomal RNA". It matches the Rfam family "Bacterial small subunit ribosomal RNA", at positions 28 to 507 of the family's 1533-position model. The record is from RNAcentral.
GACGAACGCUGGCGGCGUGCUUAACACAUGCAAGUCGAACGGAAAGGCCCUGCUUUUGUGGGGUGCUCGAGUGGCGAACGGGUGAGUAACACGUGAGUAACCUGCCCUUGACUUUGGGAUAACUUCAGGAAACUGGGGCUAAUACCGGAUAGGAGCUCCUGCUGCAUGGUGGGGGUUGGAAAGUUUCGGCGGUUGGGGAUGGACUCGCGGCUUAUCAGCUUGUUGGUGGGGUAGUGGCUUACCAAGGCUUUGACGGGUAGCCGGCCUGAGAGGGUGACCGGCCACAUGGGGACGGAGUUACGGCCCAGAUUCUUACGGGGGGCAGCAGUGGGGAAUAUUGCACAAGGGGCGGAGGCUGGUGGCGGCAACGCCGGGUGCGGGAGGACGGCUUUCGGGUUGUAAACCGCUUUCGCCUGUGACGAAGCGUGAGGGAGGGUAAUGGGGAAAGAGGCACGGGCUACUACGUG